Molecule: ribosomal RNA, 468 nt
Filed under: uncultured bacterium
Lineage: Bacteria
Description: partial 16S ribosomal RNA
Rfam family: Bacterial small subunit ribosomal RNA
Source: RNAcentral
GACGAACGCUGGCGGCGUGCUUAACACAUGCAAGUCGAACGGAAAGGCCCUGCUUUUGUGGGGUGCUCGAGUGGCGAACGGGUGAGUAACACGUGAGUAACCUGCCCUUGACUUUGGGAUAACUUCAGGAAACUGGGGCUAAUACCGGAUAGGAGCCCCUGCUGCAUGGUGGGGGUUGGAAAGUUUCGGCGGUUGGGGAUGGACUCGCGGCUUAUCAGCUUGCUGGUGGGGUAGUGGCUUACCAAGGCUUUGACGGGUAGCCGGCCUGAGAGGGUGACCGGCCACAUUGGGACUGAGAUACGGCCCAGACUCCUACGGGAGGCAGCAGUGGGGAAUAUUGCACAAUGGGCGGGAGCCUGAUGCAGCAACGCCGCGUGCGGGAUGACGGCCUUCGGGUUGUAAACCGCUUUCGCCUGUGACGAAGCGUGAGUGACGGUAAUGGGUAAAGAAGCACCGGCUAACUACGUG